RNAcentral lists this ribosomal RNA (486 nucleotides) under uncultured bacterium. Its description in RNAcentral is "bacterial SSU rRNA". It matches the Rfam family "Bacterial small subunit ribosomal RNA", at positions 28 to 507 of the family's 1533-position model. The record is from RNAcentral.
GAUGAACGCUAGCUACAGGCUUAACACAUGCAAGUCGAGGGGCAGCAUGACCUAGCAAUAGGUUGAUGGCGACCGGCGCACGGGUGAGUAACACGUAUCCAACCUACCGGUUAUUCCGGGAUAGCCUUUCGAAAGAAAGAUUAAUACCGGAUAGUAUAACGAGAAGGCAUCUUUUUGUUAUUAAAGAAUUUCGAUAACCGAUGGGGAUGCGUUCCAUUAGUUUGUUGGCGGGUAACGGCCCACCAAGACAUCGAUGGAUAGGGGUUCUGAGAGGAAGGUCCCCCCANAUUGGAACUGAGACACGGUCCAAACUCCUACGGGAGGCAGCAGUGAGGAAUAUUGGUCAAUGGACGAGAGUCUGAACCAGCCAAGUAGCGUGAAGGAUGACUGCCCUAUGGGUUGUAAACUUCUUUUAAUAUGGGAAUAAAGUGAGGCACGUGUGCCUUUUUGUAUGUACCGUAUGAAUAAGGAUCGGCUAACUCCGUG